CCUACGGGAGGCUCCAGUGAGGAAUAUUGGUCAAUGGACGAGAGUCUGAACCAGCCAAGUAGCGUGAAGGAUGACUGCCCUAUGGGUUGUAAACUUCUUUUAUAUGGGAAUAAAACGUUCCACGUGUGGGAUUUUGUAUGUACCAUAUGAAUAAGGAUCGGCUAACUCCGUGCCAGCAGCCGCGGUAAUACGGAGGAUCCGAGCGUUAUCCGGAUUUAUUGGGUUUAAAGGGAGCGUAGGUGGAUUGUUAAGUCAGUUGUGAAAGUUUGCGGCUCAACCGUAAAAUUGCAGUUGAAACUGGCAGUCUUGAGUACAGUAGAGGUGGGCGGAAUUCGUGGUGUAGCGGUGAAAUGCUUAGAUAUCACGAAGAACUCCGAUUGCGAAGGCAGUUCACUGGACUGCAACUGACACUGAGGCUCGAAAGUGUGGGUAUCAAACAGGAUUAGAUACCCUUGUAGUC
RNAcentral lists this ribosomal RNA (460 nucleotides) under uncultured bacterium. Its description in RNAcentral is "partial 16S ribosomal RNA". It matches the Rfam family "Bacterial small subunit ribosomal RNA", at positions 338 to 795 of the family's 1533-position model. The record is from RNAcentral.